UCAAAUGAUGAUACCAAAAAGGUUUCGCAAUUCUCUGAUUACGAUGACGAUAAACCUUGGCUGUCUGACUGA
Non-coding RNA from Drosophila ananassae, 72 nucleotides. Lineage: Eukaryota; Metazoa; Arthropoda; Insecta; Diptera; Drosophilidae. The record is from Rfam.